UUGCAGGACGACCCCUAAGAUGAAGAAUAUUAGAUUUAUGAUCAAGAUAGCGAUGGCGACUUCUCCAAUGAUGAGGAUUAGUGAAUUAUCGAACGAGAUGGGGCUUCUUAUGGGCUUUGCUCAUCUCAGAAAUGACGGCAGUCGGCGGGUUAGGGCUCACCGAGAUGGAGCGAAACCACCCUACUUCUUUCGGGUUAGGCUGAAGUUGAGAGGUGUGCUGAUUUUUGGUAGAUAUAGCAGUUUUAGAGCAAGUAGGAAAAACUUUAUUUAUCUUCUAAUGUAAAUGAGGUUGUUUCAGUGAUUUGUGCCUUGCUGUCGACUUAUAUAUUAUUCGACAGGCUCUUUCAUGAGACAUUAGAGUAAAUGGGUGAGGAAUACCAUUUUUGGUGAUUGGUAAAAGGUAAAUCAUGCUUAGAGGUUCCUGUACUUAUGAUUUAAUGUUUCAAUUACAAUUUUUUUUUUUUCAUUUUU
Molecule: long non-coding RNA, 471 nt
Organism: Salvia miltiorrhiza (redroot sage)
Lineage: Eukaryota; Viridiplantae; Streptophyta; Magnoliopsida; Lamiales; Lamiaceae
Exons: 2
Source: RefSeq, a predicted model, not a curated record